UGCUCGAGUGGCUAACGGGUGAGUAACACGUGAGUAACCUGCCCUUGACUUUGGGAUAACUUCAGGAAACUGGGGCUAAUACCGGAUAGGAGCUCCUGCUGCAUGGUGGGGGUUGGAAAGUUUCGGCGGUUGGGGAUGGACUCGCGGCUUAUCAGCUUGUUGGUGGGGUAGUGGCUUACCAAGGCUUUGACGGGUAGCCGGCCUGAGAGGGUGACCGGCCACAUUGGGACUGAGAUACGGCCCAG
Molecule: ribosomal RNA, 245 nt
Filed under: uncultured Actinomycetales bacterium
Lineage: Bacteria; Bacillati; Actinomycetota; Actinomycetes; Actinomycetales
Description: partial 16S ribosomal RNA
Rfam family: Bacterial small subunit ribosomal RNA
Source: RNAcentral